UCGAACAGAGGAGUGCAACAGACCCUGAAACCAUAUGCCUACAAGCGGUCGGAGCGGCUUAGUGCCGUGACGGCGUGCCUUUUGCAUAAUGAACCUACGAGUCACCGUCGUUGGCAAGGUUAAGGACAAUGAUGUCCGGAGCCGAAGCGAAAGCGAGUCCGAACAGGGCGUUGGAGUCAGCGGAGGUGGACGCGAAACCAAGUGAUCUACCCUUGGGCAGGUUGAAGGACAGGUAAAACUGUCUGGAGGACCGAACCGGUAAGCGUUGAAAAGCUUUCGGAUGACCUGAGGGUAGGAGUGAAAGGCCAAUCAAACUUGGAGAUAGCUCGUACUCCCCGAAAUGUAUUUAGGUGCAGCCUCGGAGAGAAUCUGACGGAGGUAGAGCGACUGAUAGGAUGCGAGGGCUUCACCGCCUAUCAAGUCCUGACAAACUCCGAAUGCCGUCAGACAUAUCCGGGAGUAAGGGCGCGGGUGCUAAGGUCCGCGUCCGAGAGAGGAACAACUCAGACCAUCGGCUAAGGUCCCGAAAUCCGGGCUAAGUUGAAGACAAUAACGAGGUGGGAUUGCAUAGACAGCUAGGAUGUUGGCUUGGAAGCAGCCAUUCAUUUAAAGAGUGCGUAACAGCUCACUAGUCGAGUGAUCCCGCGUGGAUAAUAAUCGGGCAUAAGUCCGGUACCGAAGCCAUGGAAUCACGCUUAGGGCGUGAUUGGUAGGGGAGCAUUCCGUACAGCGGCGAAGGUCGGUGGCGAUGCCGGCUGGAGCGUACGGAAAAGCAAAUGUAGGUAUAAGUAACGAUAAUGGAGGCGAGAAACCUCCACGCCGAAAGACCAAGGUUUCCUGAUCAACGCUAAUCGGAUCAGGGUAAGUCGGGACCUAAGGGGCAGCCGCGAGGCGGACCCGAUGGAAGAAACGGUAAAGAUUCCGUUACUGUCGCCGGGAGUGAAGCGGGGACGGAGGAGUGACACCGCCGCGGACUGACGGAAUAGUCCGUUGAAGAGUGUAGGUAUUCGGAGGCCAGGCAAAUCCGGUCUCCGAGCUGAACUUGACAGUACUGCGAGCCUUCGGGCAAGCAGACAGCGCGGGUAAGCAGACUCCCAAGAAAAUCCGCUAAACAUAUGUCGGCGACACCCGUACCGAAACGGACACACGUGGUCGGGUAGAACAUACUAAGGCGCUCGAGAGAUUCACCGUUAAGGAACUAGGCAAAUUGACCUCGUAACUUCGGGAUAAGGGGUCCCACAGCGAUGUGGGCGCAGAGAAUAGGUCCAGGCAACUGUUUAACAAAAACACAGGGCUGUGCGAAAUUUAAAGAUGAAGUAUACAGCCUGACACCUGCCCGGUGCCGGAAGGUUAAGAGGAGAAGUCAUCGCAAGAGAAGCUUUGAAUUGAAGCCCCGGUAAACGGCGGCCGUAACUAUAACGGUCCUAAGGUAGCGAAAUUCCUUGUCGGGUAAGUU
Molecule: ribosomal RNA, 1456 nt
Filed under: human gut metagenome
Description: bacterial LSU rRNA
Rfam family: Bacterial large subunit ribosomal RNA
Source: RNAcentral